GUGAUUCUGUCCUGCGCGGCUGCUCGUUUGAACAGAAGUUGUUUAAUCCUGUCAAGCUUCUCUCCCACAUGAGUGCAUGCCGCCAACCCAUGGAGGAUUCAAUGGACAUGGACAUGAGGCCCUUGAGGCCCCAGAACUAUCUUUUCGGUUGUGAACUAAAGGCUGACAGAGAUUAUCACUUCAAGGUGGAUAAUGAUGAAAAUGAGCACCAGUUAUCUUUAAGAAUGGUCAGUUUAGGGGCUGGAGCAAAGGAUGAGUUACACAUUGUUGAAGCAGAGAUGAUGAAUGAUGAAGGCAGUCCAAUUAAAGCAACACUGGAAAAUUUGAAAAUGUCUGUACAGCCAAUGGUUCUUCUUGGGGGCUUUGAAAUUACACCACCUGUGGUCUUACCAUUGAAAUGUGGUUCAGGGCCUGUGCAUAUUAGUGGACAGCACUUAGUAGCUGUGGAGGAAGAGGCAGGGUCAGAAGAUGAAGAGGAGAAGGAUGUGAAACUCCUAAGUAUAUCUGGAAAGUGUCCUGCCCCUGGAAGUGGUAGCAAGUUUCCUCAGAAAAAAGUAAAGCUUGCUGCUGAUGAAGAUGACGAUGAUGUUGAAGAUGACGACGAUGAUGAUGAAGAUGAUGAUGAUGAUGACGAUUUUGAUGAGGAAGUUGAAGAAAAAACUCCAGUAAGGAAAUGUGUGCAAGAUACUCCAGCCAAAAAUGCACAAAAAUCGAACCAAAAUGGAAAAGACUCAAAAUCAUCAACACCAAGAUCAAAAGGUCAAGAAUCCUUCGAAAAACAGGAAAAAACACCUAAAACACCGAAAGGACCUAGCUCUGUAGAAGACAUUAAGCAAAAUGCAAGCAAGUAUAGAAAAAGGUGGUCCCCUCCCAAAGUGGAAGCCAAGUUUAUCAAUUAUGUGAAGAAUUGGUUCCAGAUGACUGACCAGGAGGCUAUUCAAGAUCUCUGGCAGUGGAGG
Odocoileus virginianus texanus is the source of this 959-nucleotide non-coding RNA. NCBI's taxonomy places the organism in Eukaryota, Metazoa, Chordata, Mammalia, Artiodactyla, Cervidae. The record is from RefSeq and is a predicted model, not a curated record.